This 597-nucleotide long non-coding RNA is filed under the name Mytilus galloprovincialis (Mediterranean mussel). The record is from RNAcentral. Lineage: Eukaryota; Metazoa; Mollusca; Bivalvia; Mytilida; Mytilidae.
AACCAGGUGAAUGAUCAUGCCAGAUUAACCAGGUGAAUGAUGCAGGACAGAUUAACCAUAUGAAUGAUGCAUGUCAGAUUAACCAGAUCAAUUUUCAUGCCAGAUUAACCAGGUGAAUGAUGCAUGCCAGAUUAACCAGGUGAAUGAUGCAUGCCAGAUUAACCAGAUGAAUGAUGCAUGCCAGAUUAACCGGGUGAAUUAUGCAGGCCAGAUUAACCAGACGAAUGAUACAUGCCAGAUUAACCAUAUGAAUAAUGCAUGCCAGAUUAACCAGAUGAAUGAUCUUGCCAGAUUAACCAGGUGAAUAAUGCAGGCCAGAUAAACCAGUUGAAUGAUGCAUGUCAGAUUAACCAGAUUAAUGAUGCAUGAGAGAUUAACCAGAUGAAUGAUGCAUGCCAUAUUAACCAGAUGAAUGAUGCAUGCAAGAUUAACCAGAUAUAUGAUGCAUGACAGAAAUAGUAGAGGGGAAAACAAAACAAAAGAAAAUUAAACAAAAGAAAAAAAAAGGCAAACGAAACGAAACAAAGCGAAAUGAACAUGUUUAAUUACCAAUCAAGCUAAAAAAUAAAAUAAAGGCAAACGGGCAUCAAAGCGGAG